CCGAGUUUACAACUCCCAAACCCCUGUGAACAUACCUAUACGUUGCCUCGGCGGAUCAGCCCGCGCCCCGUAAAAAGGGACGGCCCGCCCGAGGACCCCUAAACUCUGUUCUUAGUGGAACUUCUGAGUAAAACAAACAAAUAAAUCA
Molecule: unclassified non-coding RNA, 148 nt
Filed under: soil metagenome
Description: partial internal transcribed spacer 1
Source: RNAcentral